RNAcentral lists this ribosomal RNA (497 nucleotides) under uncultured bacterium. RNAcentral's name for it is "partial 16S ribosomal RNA". It matches the Rfam family "Bacterial small subunit ribosomal RNA", at positions 28 to 507 of the family's 1533-position model. The record is from RNAcentral.
GAUGAACGCUGGCGGCGUGCCUAAUACAUGCAAGUCGAGCGAACAGACGAGGAGCUUGCUUCUCUGACGUUAGCGGCGGACGGGUGAGUAACACGUGGAUAACCUACCUAUAAGACUGGGAUAACUUCGGGAAACCGGAGCUAAUACCGGAUAAUAUAUUGAACCGCAUGGUUCAAUAGUGAAAGACGGUCUUGCUGUCACUUAUAGAUGGAUCCGCGCCGCAUUAGCUAGUUGGUAAGGUAACGGCUUACCAAGGCGACGAUGCGUAGCCGACCUGAGAGGGUGAUCGGCCACACUGGAACUGAGACACGGUCCAGACUCCUACGGGAGGCAGCAGUAGGGAAUCUUCCGCAAUGGGCGAAAGCCUGACGGAGCAACGCCGCGUGAGUGAUGAAGGUCUUCGGAUCGUAAAACUCUGUUAUUAGGGAAGAACAAAUGUGUAAGUAACUAUGCACAUCUUGACGGUACCUAAUCAGAAAGCCACGGCUAACUACGUG